UACAGAGGUCUCAAGCGUUGUUCGGAUUCAUUGGGCGUAAAGCGUGCGUAGGUGGUUUGUUAAGUCUGAUGUGAAAGCCCUGGGCUCAACCUGGGAACGGCAUUGGAAACUGGCUUACUAGAGUGCGGUAGAGGGGUGUGGAAUUCCCGGUGUAGCAGUGAAAUGCGUAGAUAUCAGGAGGAAUACCGAUGGCGAAGGCAGGUCUCUGGGCUAUAACUGACGCUCAUGCACGAAAGCGUGGGGAGCAAACAGG
Molecule: ribosomal RNA, 253 nt
Filed under: uncultured bacterium
Lineage: Bacteria
Description: partial 16S ribosomal RNA
Rfam family: Bacterial small subunit ribosomal RNA
Source: RNAcentral